Mesocricetus auratus (golden hamster) is the source of this 1999-nucleotide long non-coding RNA. RefSeq lists it as uncharacterized. The transcript has 3 exons. NCBI's taxonomy places the organism in Eukaryota, Metazoa, Chordata, Mammalia, Rodentia, Cricetidae. The record is from RefSeq and is a predicted model, not a curated record.
CUCCCGCCCGAACCGCAGACCCCGGGCGCCGUCGCCGCCUGUUCCUCAGGAGAGAGGACAGGAGCUGAGGGGAGAGCCCGAGGGAGGAAGGCGCGAAGGUGAGGUGAAGCCGGGGGCAGCCCGACAGCCUCCCGACCCCCUACUCUUCACCUUCCCGUAACCGCGUCUCUUACCGGUGAUAGCGGUGAACUGCUGGAUUAACCCCUUGAGCGCCGACGACGCCGCGGAGCCCCCGUGGGCAGCCAUCUUAUCGCCGCCGCCGCCGCCGCGGAACAACAACACAGACACACACGGGCCGCCCUCCCCCACUCCGCGGCGGGCUGUGCGCAGGCGCACUGGCGGGCCCAAAGCUGGCAGGCCCAAAGCUCCGCCCCCUCCCUCGGGCGCGCGACUCGCGCAGGCGUGAUCUCCACCAGCCGCCUGGCGACCAGCUGUGGUGUGACUCCCGCGUUGCUACCUGCUAGCCUCGCAUUCUUUGAAACAUUUAAUGGCCUCUUCUAGCCCCAAGGUAUUCUCCUAAAUGCCGCGUUGGAGCCCAGUGUCGGAAAGAAGCUCCAGAACUGAAAUACCAGAACCUUCAUGCUAUGCACGGGGUUUCACAUAUAUUUAGAGGGGUGGUCCAUGAUCAUGGAAGGAAGCAGACAGACAUGGCUUUGGGACAGUAGCUGAGAGCUUUACAUCCCAAUCUUCAGACAGCAGGCAAAGAAAGAGACACAGGUUGCUUCAUCUCAUCGCCCAGCCAUGGUACAUUGUCCUAGGAAGUGUGAUUCCUGCUGUGACAAGACGGUUUGUGAUGAGGAAGCGGUACAUGCUUCCCAUCCAGCACCUGGGAGUCUGAAGCGGGAGACUCUCCAGUGCAAAACUAGUCUGAGCUACCAGCAUGUUCCAGGCCAGCCCAAGCUACAAAGCAAAAUACUGUUUCCAAAACAGGUCAACAAAGUAAACUUCUGAGACCACAUUUACAUAUUUUAUUAUAGAUAUAGUGUAGUAUGUUAUUAUUACUCUAUAUUGCUAAGUUUUUACUGUGCAUAAUUUAUUAAGUUUUAUCAUAAGUAAUGUGUGUGUAGGAAAAUAUGUAGCAUAUGUAGAGCUGAAUAUUGGGCAUCUGCAGUUUUAAACAUCUACUGGUAACUUGUAAUCUGUUUCCUGUGGAUUAAGGGACACUACUAUGGUAAUAAGAGAUGUCUGCCUUAUCCUAAAGAUUAUUUUUUUAGGAGAGAUUAGGAUCUCACUAUGUUAUGUAGCUCUGGCUGUCCUGUAAUUUACUGUGUAGACCAAGCUACUCUAGAACUCACAGAGAUCCACGCACCAGUCUCUUUUUAAAGCUUACUUUUAAUUUUUUACAUUUAUUUAUUUAUGUAGGAGCAGGUAUAUGUGCCACAGCAUUCAAUUUGGGGAAGAAAGGGUUUUUUUAAUCUCAAAGCUUGUAGUCCAUCAUCUAGGGAUGUCCAGGCAAGAACCUGGAGGCAGGAACUGAAGCAGAAGCCGUGGAGGAACCAUUUAAUGACUUGGUCCUGAUGGCUUGUUCAGUCUGCUUUCUUGUACCAUCCAGGAUCCCUGCCCACGAGUAGCAUCGUCCACAAAGGGUUGGGCCCUUCCUCAUCAAUCACUAAGAAAAUGCCCCACAAACCAAUCUAAUGAAAGCAUUUUCUCAGUUGUGGUGGCCCCCUCUAGCUUGUGUCAGAGUUGAUAAAUAACAAAAUAAAACUAUACAAACAAACAACAACCAGGACAACAGACCACUUUUUAUUUUCUAGCAGAUUGUGAAAGUGUACCAGUUUGAACUAGGUAGUAGGUCCACCUAGAACUCUAUGCUACCAGGCUAGCCUCAAUUUCUCCCUGCUCCUAGCAAAACCAAAACAAUAAAAACUCAAAGUCCUUGGGUGACUGGAGAGAUGGAUCAGCAGUUAAGAACAUUGUCUGCUCUUCUAGAAAACCCAGGUUCUAUUACCAGCACCCACAGUGACAGCUCACAGUCAUCUGGUAACUCCAGUUCUAA